Cavia porcellus (domestic guinea pig) is the source of this 135-nucleotide small nucleolar RNA. The record is from Ensembl. NCBI's taxonomy places the organism in Eukaryota, Metazoa, Chordata, Mammalia, Rodentia, Caviidae.
UUCCCUUUAAAAGCACUCACUGGGUCUCUUUUUAAUGACACAUUGAGCCUUCAAGAAGGGCAGAAUGCAAACACCACCCUUGGGUGAAGUGGUAGCAUGGAGUAUUGUUUUCCUGAAAUUGGUGGGAUGACAAGA